AUACCAUGAUGAGGACAUUUUCUGAGUAACUCCUUAAAUCUCUCCCAUGCGUCAUACAAGCUCUCAUCUUCAAGUUAAUGGAAAGAUGUGAUCUCGUUCCUCCACAU
RNAcentral lists this small nucleolar RNA (107 nucleotides) under Citrus sinensis (sweet orange). RNAcentral's name for it is "Plant small nucleolar RNA R71". It matches the Rfam family "Plant small nucleolar RNA R71". Rfam says of the family: R71 is a member of the C/D box family of snoRNAs containing the C (UGAUGA) and D (CUGA) box motifs. Multiple nearly identical copies of this snoRNA have been identified in Arabidopsis, and it is thought to function as a 2'-O-ribose methylation guide for 18S ribosomal RNA. The record is from Rfam by way of RNAcentral. Lineage: Eukaryota; Viridiplantae; Streptophyta; Magnoliopsida; Sapindales; Rutaceae.